CUCUCCGUAGUUCAAUGGAUAGAACGAGUGCCUCCUAAGCGCUAGAUACAGGUUCGAUUCCUGUCGGGGAGGCCA
Molecule: transfer RNA, 75 nt
Filed under: Comamonas squillarum
Lineage: Bacteria; Pseudomonadati; Pseudomonadota; Betaproteobacteria; Burkholderiales; Comamonadaceae
Description: Comamonas sp. PR12 tRNA-Arg
Rfam family: tRNA
About the family: Transfer RNA (tRNA) molecules are approximately 80 nucleotides in length. Their secondary structure includes four short double-helical elements and three loops (D, anti-codon, and T loops).
Source: RNAcentral